GCGUACGGGUGAGUAACACGUAGGUAAUCUACCUUGGAGUUCGGAAUAACCUGCCGAAAGGCGGGCUAAUACCGGAUAGUUCGGGAAAUUCGUAAUGGAUUUUUCGGGAAAGGGAGCCGGCAACGGCCCUCGCUCUAAGCGGAGCCUGCGGCCCAUUAGCUUGUUGGUGGGGUAAAAGCCUACCAAGGCGAUGAUGGGUAGCUGGUCUAAGAGGAUGAUCAGUCACACUGGAACUGAAACACGGUCCAGACUCCUACGGGAGGCAGCAGUGGGGAAUAUUGCGCAAUGGGCGAAAGCCUGACGCAGCCACGCCGCGUGAGUGAAGAAGGCCUGCGGGUUGUAAAGCUCUGUCUAAAGGGACGAAAAUGUUGCGAGUUAAUAGCUCGCAAAGUUGACGGUACCUUUAGAGGAAGCACCGGCUAACUCCGUGCCAGCAGCCGCGGUAAUACGGAGGGUGCAAGCGUUGCUCGGAUUUAUUGGGCGUAAAGGGGAGGUAGGUGGUCUUGUUUGUCCGGGGUGAAAGUCCCAAGCUUAACUUGGGAAGUGCCUCGGAAAC
RNAcentral lists this ribosomal RNA (556 nucleotides) under uncultured bacterium. RNAcentral describes it as "bacterial SSU rRNA". It matches the Rfam family "Bacterial small subunit ribosomal RNA", at positions 98 to 633 of the family's 1533-position model. The record is from RNAcentral.